RNAcentral lists this transfer RNA (66 nucleotides) under Rhipicephalus maculatus. RNAcentral's name for it is "tRNA-Ser". The record is from RNAcentral. Lineage: Eukaryota; Metazoa; Arthropoda; Arachnida; Ixodida; Ixodidae.
AGACUUUUUAACUAUGUAAUAAGUAUAUAUUUUGAAAAUAUAAAAAAGAAGAAUUCUAAAAGUCUG